RNA transcript from Lagopus muta (rock ptarmigan), 4464 nucleotides. It is a transcript of the gene named coiled-coil domain containing 169, with no coding region annotated. NCBI's taxonomy places the organism in Eukaryota, Metazoa, Chordata, Aves, Galliformes, Phasianidae. The record is from RefSeq and is a predicted model, not a curated record. The transcript is spliced from 10 exons.
GCAAAUGACAAACUAGAGCUUUUCUUGAUUUCAUAGUGUGCCAGUAAGGCAAAAUUACAGCCCAUCUUCCUGAAUAAGGGCAGAGAUCAUCUCUCCAGUCAGCACUGGCCCCGUUUCACACUGUCUCUUGCUUUUCUGAGCAGACGGUGGACCAUUUCAGGUCACUAACCACCUGAAAUUUCGGGGCUUUAUGAAUUCUAUGGGCUUGUUAAGUAGUCACUUGAAUGUAAGAGCUGCCACUGAAGCAGCCAGAGAAAGCGACAGGGAGACAGAGGCGCCGCCAUGCAGCACUAAGCUGUGCCAUUAACGCAGUCGGCCUCGUGAAGCUUCGCCUUUACAAAACGGAGAAGAGAGCUUGGACCGCGGCCGCCGCGCAGCCAGGGCAGGGCGCGCCUCGCCGCUCCCUCAGGCGGCCGCCAGACACACAGCGGCCGUUCUGCGGUCCCCGGCGGGCCGGUGGCGCCAUGGGGGAGCGCGGCGAUUCCGAAGGGCUGGAGAUGGAGCUGGGGCGGGAGAGGAGGAGGCAGCAAAUGCUUGAAAAUUCAAUAUCUGAAUUGAGAAGAACAGUAACGGAACUGGAGAAAAAGCUUAGUGGUGUUGAAGAUGAAGGUAAUGAGUGGAAAACCAGAUAUGAGAUGCAAGUAGAAUUGAACAGACAGCUGCAAAGGCAAAUUAAUAUUCUUAAAGACAAGGUGGAGCUUAUUCAUGGAAAUCCAACAGAUAAACUGGCCAUUGUUCGCAUCUUUGAUCAAAUGCCUGUGGGCUCCUUAAAGGAGGUUCUUGAACAACUAAAAGAAGAGAAGAAAAGACUCCAGAAUCAGCUAAAAGAUUAUGAACUUAGACUGGAACAAGAGGCAAAGGCUUACCACAAAGCUAAUGAUGAGCGGCGCAUGUACCUUUCAGAGAUUUUGCAGACCUCAGCUAUGCUUAAAACUGUUGAAAAGCAAAGAACAGAUGCUCUGACAAGCAAGGGAGAAAAGCACACACUGAGAGGGAGAUGCAGCGUUCCGCAGCGUCUGAAGAUUGUUAAUCCCCAAAAAGGAACAAUUAAAAAGACUGCAGGAGUGAUGCAGCUUCCAAAACUAAAAUCCUGAUUUAAUAUACCUUUUUUCUUUAACUGAAAAUUUCUGAAUUGAAAAUGAAUGUGUAUAUGCUUUAUUACACCAAACACAGACCAGCACAUCUUCUUGGCAGCAGUAGUGUAAGUUCCUCUUUGCCUGAUGGAAUUGUUCUUGUAGUUGCCAUUUUUUGUUCUGGUGAUCUCUGACUCUUUUCGUGCUAGUUCUUAUCAGUGAUUCUAGUAUCUGGGAGCUGGGAUCUUUGGAGAACACUUAGUCAAUCUGGUGGAACAGGUAGUACUGUUGAGUCAGUAUGAUUUUUGACAUCUCAGUCAAGGAAAAACGAAUGCAGAGUGAUAUAACCUGAAAUGUAAUCUCUCUACCCAAAAAGUAAAUCUCUGCAGUAAUUCCGUCCAAGAGCAUCUGGUAUAGCAGCUAAGAAAAUAUCCAAGUAGUCUGAUGUUGGUACAGCUAACUGUGCCUUUCAUUUGACCAGCACAUAGUCAGUGCCUUACAAUAGAGUUCCUUUCCAACAUAAAGUUAUUCUUUUUUCCAUUACUCCAGCAGAGGGACAAAACACCUCCAGCUUUUUAAAAAGUUGGCUUGCUGUAAAACCUUUUGUUUGCAUAUUUUAGAAGCAUUCUGUCAUGUGUAGCUAUUACAGGCACUAGUUACAGAAAGAAAUGAAAGAAAAAGUCAGCGUUUUUAAUCAAGAUGCUUUAGAACAUGUCUUGUGAGGGGGGAUUGUUGCUUUUAAGCAUUACAUACACAUUACAUUUCCUGAUAUUGGUAUGUUGCUAUUUGCAGUUUGAAUUCUCCCGUGGAUGUUUUUAUGGGUUCCAUAAAAUUCUUUAUGUAUUGUUCAGUGGUGCUGAUCCAUAUAUAUUUAUGGCCCAAAAUAGUACCAGUCUUUAAAAUAAUCUCUUCAGUGAACAGUAGGACUACUUUGUCUUUUCAUUCUUAAGAGUGCAAUUGUUGUAGUUUCAUUACCUACAGCAUUUUAGUCAUUAAACUUUCACAGAAUUCUUUUAAGUAGCAACAGAAAAAAUGUUUUGGUAAUGAAGCUUCAAGCUUCUGGGUUACAUCAUAAAAGCUCUUGGCAAAGCAAAUAUGAUUGAUUGACUGCCCUUUAUUAUUUUUAAGAGCAUCCCUAGCUCUUUGCAGAAUCUGGUAAAGCUUUUUUGCCUCUUUAAGAGCAGUACAAAUAGUUCCUUAUUACUGGCAGCAUUAAAGCGAGGCUGUAAUUAAACUCUUACAAAAAGAUCAAUGAUGCCAUUAUAAGAUCCAGGGAAAGAAGACCUGCAGUAUUGUACAGCAUACUCUGUAUGCAGAACUUGUUUUUCUCUUACAUAGUAUGAGAUUUAUUACAGUUAUUUCUAAUGUUACUCUGAUGCACGUGGUAUAAUUCUGUCCUAAGCAGGCUGGUCUGCACAGCACAGCUGAUGAGGGUUCCUGUUCCUGUUUUUACAUGGAAAGUUUCCAGAUUUUAUUUGUCACUGGGGAGAGAGAGAAAAAAUCACCAUAAUGGUUCUGUUGGCACAAAAGACAAGGACAUCUGCAGUAGCAAAGAAUAUCCAGUUCUUGGAUUCAUGCAGCAGACAUUACUGCUGCCUCUAAAUCAAAUGUUAGUCAAUGCAGUUGACUGUAGUCCUUGUAACACUUCACAGGAAUUGGAAACUUUGCACCAGGAUGACACAACAGCAAUUGUUCACAGCUGGGGUGUUAAUUGCUUACCUCAUGGGUAGUUCUUGCUGAGAUAACAAUUCUGAUGCUUAAAAAGAGGCAUUUGUUGAUAUCAUUGGUGCAAUAAUGACCUGAGGAGAGGAGCAGACUGUGUCUUCUUAGUCCCUAUUUCAGCAUGCCAGGAGCAAGAUCAGGAUUUGAAACUCAGCAGUAUGGAGCAGCAUGCAGAUGGAAACAGGCUUUCUACAUGCUUCUUUGUGCGCAUUGAUGCAUCACUCCUCAGAAGAGGCUCGCUCAGGCCACCCUGUCCUUUCAGGACUGAGAGAGAACGCAGUACUGACUCGAUGCAGACGCUAUAUGCACCUAGGGAGCACAACCCAGCAGUGCCACUCCAGUUUUUGAGGGAAAAACUCAACGAUGGAAAGAGGACUCUCCUGUCAGGUGUGGCUGGGCGCACUCUUUGUUUCCCACUGCCCUGCACCACAGCACCAGCUGCCUCCUGCAGCGAUCCAAGCCCUCUCACAGACACAUAUCUCUUGGAGAAUCUGCUCAGGAAUGAUGUGGUUUGACUGAGCGCUGUAGGCUGGGGAGCAGAGAAGUCAUGCACAGCUGAAGAGUUAUUCUGGGGAGAUGGAUGAAGCAACAAGGGAGUGCCCCUUGACUCAUUGCAUGCUGGUUAGGAAUGGAAUACUGAUAUGUUCUGAAAAAAAGAGAAGAAGGAAAUACAAACUUGGGAAUUGUGUGACCCAGCCCAGUGCUUAGAAGUCAAACAUCUGCGUCUGAGCUAAUCCCUGUAUGCUCCAUGUGUAGACAAUGGAAAGAAAUAGAAAUCUUGAGAGAGAAGUUUCUCAUGUUCUAACAGUGGAGAUUAAGAUGGAUCAGAGGGCCCAUGAAUUUCUCUCCACAUACUAGAAAGAAAAUCUAGAAUAGCAAAUUCACAAUAAGCUGCAUGAUGUAGGUUGAAUCCUGUUGAAAACAUUUUUCUUGGUCUGGCUGGGGAUAGUGACAGUAGAGUAUUUGAGCUAAAAAGAAAUACUGAGCUGCGAUGUGACUCUCCUUAGGGUUGAUCUUUUCAGCUCACAACAGGUCCUGUUCUUCAAACCCUGUAUUUACAGUGUGAGGUGAUCUAUUCUCAAGUUACAUUGGCACUUACAAGGACAAAUUACCUCAUUUUUUUCUUUCUUUUGAAGAGAUUUGGCAAGCUCUGUGUUCUUUGGAAAUGAAAACAACAAACAUGCGCAUUAUUCUAAAAAGCCCCUGUAAAGUGUAUGGAACCCCAGGACACAGGUAGGGAAGUACAGCCCAUAGAUCAAUGAGCUACAGACCUCAGAAGAAAUGUGAUGCAAUCAUUUGGUAGGAAUCGAUAACGUAGAGAUCAAUAUUUUUUUGUGUGUUCCUGUCUCUUAAAAAGCUGAGCUAGGAAUUUACUAAUGACGAGUGAGAUUAUUGGCUGGGCAAAGUUGUUCUUGAAGGAUUAAAAUAGUUUGCAAGUCCUGCCAGGCCUGCAAUGGCUGGCAGCAUAACUUCAUUAGUAUAAUAUACUUCUGGGCCAAGGAAAAUUUGUCCAAAUACACUUAAAGUGUUUGGAUGAAAUCAUCUGCCAUCAGAAGUCAUUUAUUUCUUCCUUAGGCUGAGCCUUUCGUCUCUCAUUGGCACACGAGCAGAAGAGACAAAUGCCACUCCUGUGCUGUCAGAUACAAAAUCACAGAAUGGUUGAAGUUGG